UACGUAGGGUGCAAGCGUUGCCCGGAUUUCUUGGGCGUAAAGGGCGCGUAGGCGGUCACGCACGUCCGUUGUGAAAUCGCUCGGCUCAACUGGGCGGGGUCAGCGGAUACGGUGUGGCUGGAGCAAGCUAGGGGGCAAUGGAAUUCCCGGUGUAGUGGUGGAAUGCGUAGAUAUCGGGAGGAACACCAGUGGCGAAGGCGGUUGCCUGGAGCUUUGCUGACGCUGAUGCGCGAAAGCGUGGGGAGCGAUCCGG
This 253-nucleotide ribosomal RNA is filed under the name uncultured bacterium. RNAcentral describes it as "partial 16S ribosomal RNA". It matches the Rfam family "Bacterial small subunit ribosomal RNA", at positions 524 to 776 of the family's 1533-position model. The record is from RNAcentral.